This 497-nucleotide ribosomal RNA is filed under the name uncultured bacterium. RNAcentral's name for it is "partial 16S ribosomal RNA". It matches the Rfam family "Bacterial small subunit ribosomal RNA", at positions 28 to 507 of the family's 1533-position model. The record is from RNAcentral.
GAUGAACGCUGGCGGCGUGCCUAAUACAUGCAAGUCGAGCGAACAGACGAGGAGCUUGCUCCUCUGACGUUAGCGGCGGACGGGUGAGUAACACGUGGAUAACCUACCUAUAAGACUGGGAUAACUUCGGGAAACCGGAGCUAAUACCGGAUAAUAUAUUGAACCGCAUGGUUCAAUAGUGAAAGACGGUUUUGCUGUCACUUAUAGAUGGAUCCGCGCCGCCUUAGCUAGUUGGUAAGGUAACGGCUUACCAAGGCAACGAUGCGUAGCCGACCUGAGAGGGUGAUCGGCCACACUGGAACUGAGACACGGUCCAGACUCCUACGGGAGGCAGCAGUAGGGAAUCUUCCGCAAUGGGCGAAAGCCUGACGGAGCAACGCCGCGUGAGUGAUGAAGGUCUUCGGAUCGUAAAACUCUGUUAUUAGGGAAGAACAAAUGUGUAAGUAACUGUGCACGUCUUGACGGUACCUAAUCAGAAAGCCACGGCUAACUACGUG